UACUCCAUUUUUCAAUUUUCACGCUCUCAGAAUUCACACACGGGUCCCACUAGCAUAGACAAUACACCAGCCUACACAGUGAGACGAGGAAGGGAGGAGGGAAAAAGAUUAUCAUCAUCUUUGGAGAGACGCCAUUUUGGGCUCUCUUCUUUUCUUCUUUUCACAAUUCACGCACAAGAAACCAACACUAACAUAAAAUUUUACACACUAAAAAUCACACACCAGGAAAAUAGAGACUCUAUUUUUCCUCUCUCUUCGUCAUAAGCACACCCACACAGUGAGAUGAGGAAGAGAGGAAGAGCAGAUCAUUGGAAAAAAUGGCGUGAGAGAGAACUGAGAGAAGGAAAAUUUAGGACGAAAUAGAAAGAUCGAGAAAAGAGAGUUGAGAUCGAGAGAGAGGAGGGUAACAUGGAGCUAAGGGAACAUAAGUUUCGUAGUUUGGUUCCUGUUUCAGCGAUAGAUUCGCUGGAAACACGUCUAAGCCAUCACAAAUCUGUUCAAAACCCAUCAAAAUACGUCACCACUGGUAUUUCUUUAUCGAUUUCGGUCAUCGCAUAAGUUUACUGGAGUUACGGCGACACAAAAUAGUCAAACAAACCUCGAACUGCUUUCGAUUUCGUCCAAACCUGUAGGAAUUAGGCUGAAUUUCUCUUAUUUCUCAUGAUUUUUAGUUCAAGGUUGGGCGGGUUCAUCGGAAUCUGGUCCAGGUUUCUCUGUUUUGUGAUUCUUAAUUUCGAGUUGGAUGAAUUUGUUCGAUUGAGGUUCGACAUGAGAUUUUUGAGUGCAGACUCUCUUUAUCCGAGUAAUACUGAAUUUAAAAAAGCAUCAAAUUGAGGUCCAAUUCUAAUCUUUACCUUUUUUUGUUUCAUUGUUAAUGAUAUUCGAUGCAUUGAUUUCAAUAUUGUGUGUUGGUUGAUUAGUGAUGAUGUGAAUUAUUGCUGUUUUGAUUCGGUGUUUUAUUUCCUUGAUUAUGGAUUGGUUAUGGUUGUGGAUUGUUGAAAUGGUGAUUGCGAAUUGUGAAAAUUUAGUUUAAAAAGAAAUGUGGGGUUGGAUGGUAGCAAUUGAUAAAAAUAAAUAUUGUUUAAUCUUGAUUUAUUGUCGUUGGUUGUUUUGGAGUAAAUACGAAUGCUAAACGUGAUAGUAUCGUGAUAGGAUGAAAUUAGUAGGCAAAUGGUAGGCUGGGUAGGCAAAUUUAGGAAUAACGAUUUGUUGAGUGUUUGAAUAUGUGUGUGAAUGAUUCAUUCUAUUUUAUCACACAAAAAAUUAAAAUUGUACUCAUUCGGCCAGGAAAUGCCUCGAGAGAUAUGUAUUAAUUUAUUCAGGGAAUGCCCCGAAGUAUCAUGUACACAGAGGAGGCUCGUGAUCAAGGCCCGAGGCAUCGGUUAAGGCAUUGGGGCAUAGUUUUAGGAUUAGCUUAACAUAGGAUUUAUAUUUUUGCUUUUUUCUAUUUUUGGACUGUAUAAUCGGAUUGGACACUAUAUUUUGAAUUAUUUUGCUUUGUUUGUUUGAUUGAUUGUUU
This 1519-nucleotide long non-coding RNA is filed under the name Capsicum annuum. Its description in RNAcentral is "long non-coding RNA (CANN_LNC016716)". Lineage: Eukaryota; Viridiplantae; Streptophyta; Magnoliopsida; Solanales; Solanaceae. The record is from RNAcentral.